GAUGAACGCUGGCGGCGUGCCUAAUACAUGCAAGUCGAGCGAACAGACGAGGAGCUUGCUCCUCUGACGUUAGCGGCGGACGGGUGAGUAACACGUGUAUCACCUACCUAUCUGACUGGUAUAACUUCGGGAAACCGGAGCUAAUCCCGUAUAAUAUCUUGAACCGCAUGGUUCAAUAGUGAAAUACGGUUUUUCUGUCACUUAUAGAUGGAUCCGCGCCUCAUUAGCUAGUUGUUAAGGUGACGGCUUACCAAGGCAACGAUGCGUAGCCGACCUGAGAGGGUGAUCGGCCGCCCUGGAACUGAGACACGGACCAGACUCCUACGAGAGGCAGCAGUAGCGUAUCUGCCGCAAUGGGCGAAAGCCUGACGGAGCAACGCCGCGUGAGUGAUGAAGGUCUUCGGAUCGUAAUACUCUGUUAUGAGGGAAGAACAAAUGUGUAAGUAACUAUGCACGUCUUGACGGUAACUAGUAAGAAAGCCACGGCUAACUACGUG
Molecule: ribosomal RNA, 497 nt
Filed under: uncultured bacterium
Lineage: Bacteria
Description: partial 16S ribosomal RNA
Rfam family: Bacterial small subunit ribosomal RNA
Source: RNAcentral